AUACGUAGGGGGCGAGCGUUGUCCGGAAUGACUGGGCAUAAAGGGCGUGUAGGCGGCCGAUUAAGUCUGGAGUGAAAGUCCUGGAUUCAAUUUGGGAAUUGCUUUGGAUACUGGUUGGCUUGAGUGCGGAAGAGGUAAGUGGAAUUCCAUGUGUAGCGGUAAAAUGCGUAGAUAUAUGGAGGAACACCGGUGGCGAAGGCGGCUAGCUGGGCCGUAACUGACGCUGAGGCACGAAAGCGUGGGGAGCAAAUAGGAUUAGAUACCCUAGUAGUCCACGCCGUAAACGAUGAAUACUAAGUGUUGGAGAAAUUCAGUGCUGCAGUUAACGCAAUAAGUAUUCCGCCUGGGGAGUAUGCACGCAAGUGUGAAACUCAAAGGAAUUGACGGGG
This 389-nucleotide ribosomal RNA is filed under the name uncultured bacterium. RNAcentral's name for it is "partial 16S ribosomal RNA". It matches the Rfam family "Bacterial small subunit ribosomal RNA", at positions 523 to 918 of the family's 1533-position model. The record is from RNAcentral.